UAGAGUUUGAUCCUGGCUCAGGAUGAACGCUGGCGGCGUGCCUAAUACAUGCAAGUCGAGCGAACAGAUAAGGAGCUUGCUCCUUUGACGUUAGCGGCGGACGGGUGAGUAACACGUGGAUAACCUACCUAUAAGACUGGGAUAACUUCGGGAAACCGGAGCUAAUACCGGAUAACAUAUUGAACCGCAUGGUUCAAUAGUGAAAGGCGGCUUUGCUGUCACUUAUAGAUGGAUCCGCGCCGUAUUAGCUAGUUGGUAAGGUAACGGCUUACCAAGGCAACGAUACGUAGCCGACCUGAGAGGGUGAUCGGCCACACUGGAACUGAGACACGGUCCAGACUCCUACGGGAGGCAGCAGUAGGGAAUCUUCCGCAAUGGGCGAAAGCCUGACGGAGCAACGCCGCGUGAGUGAUGAAGGUCUUCGGAUCGUAAAACUCUGUUAUCAGGGAAGAACAAAUGUGUAAGUAACUGUGCACAUCUUGACGGUACCUGAUCAGAAAGCCACGGCUAACUACGUGCCAGCAGCCGCGGUAAUACGUAGGUGGCAAGCGUUAUCCGGAAUUAUUGGGCGUAAAGCGCGCGUAGGCGGUUUUUUAAGUCUGAUGUGAAAGCCCACGGCUCAACCGUGGAGGGUCAUUGGAAACUGGAAAACUUGAGUGCAGAAGAGGAAAGUGGAAUUCCAUGUGUAGCGGUGAAAUGCGCAGAGAUAUGGAGGAACACCCAGUGGCGAAGGCGACUUUCUGGUCUGUAACUGACGCUGAUGUGCGAAAGCGUGGGGAUCAAACAGGAUUAGAUACCCUGGUAGUCCACGCCGUAAACGAUGAGUGCUAAGUGUUAGGGGGUUUCCGCCCCUUAGUGCUGCAGCUAACGCAUUAAGCACUCCGCCUGGGGAGUACGACCGCAAGGUUGAAACUCAAAGGAAUU
RNAcentral lists this ribosomal RNA (924 nucleotides) under uncultured bacterium. RNAcentral's name for it is "bacterial SSU rRNA". It matches the Rfam family "Bacterial small subunit ribosomal RNA", at positions 1 to 911 of the family's 1533-position model. The record is from RNAcentral.